GUUGAGAGCGACAGUGCACACGGGAGAUAACGCUGGCGAUAACACCUGCUAUCAAACUCACUCAGCACAAAGAGACAAAACAGUCACUACUGGUAUACUGUGCUACAGUGUGCGUGUCUUAAAAAAACCACACAUAUGUUCCAUUGUAUACCUAGUGCUUCAGUAAAUGAAAAUCACAUCUAAUACCCUGAGUGCCUCUCUUCAAUUAAGUAACCAUCUCACUCAGUUCUGACCGACUGCCUAUUGUGUUUCACACCCAAAUUUAAUACAUCCACGAACCCCUCCAUUUCAAGUGGUCCUUCGAGCCGGAUUGAGUGAAUCACAGUAGAGAGAUGAUGUCGAAUUCUGAGCCAUAUCCUCCUGUUGUCAGACCUAGACGACAAAUAAGACAACCUGCAUAUCUAGCAGAUUAUGAAGUUCAUGGAUCAGGCUUUGUGAAGAGAGCUCCAGUAUCUAAUCGCCUGAGUGAAUACGCCAAUGAAGCAGUCGCACCCAUGUCAGCCAAUGUAUCACGAUCAUCUUCUCCGACGAGUCAGCCCUCAUACACAGAUGAUCUAAUACUCCAAGAUGUAUGGCCAGAGCCAUCUGGAUAUGAAUCGCCAGGGUAUGAUAAGCAACACUUUCAAGUCCAGCAGACCUCUGAUAUAAAGUCUAUGUGCAUGCAGAUGAAGAGGGACAAUGACGAGCUCCGUAGCUCCAUUCUACCAGAAAUCCUUUCAGCGCUUCAAG
Danio rerio (zebrafish) is the source of this 729-nucleotide non-coding RNA. NCBI's taxonomy places the organism in Eukaryota, Metazoa, Chordata, Actinopteri, Cypriniformes, Danionidae. The record is from Ensembl.